UACGGAGGGAGCUAGCGUUGUUCGGAAUUACUGGGCGUAAAGCGCACGUAGGCGGCCUGAUAAGUCGGGUGUGAAAGCCCUGGGCUCAACCCAGGAAGUGCACUCGAAACUGCCAGGCUUGAAUAUGGAAGAGGGUCGCGGAAUUCCCGGUGUAGAGGUGAAAUUCGUAGAUAUCGGGAGGAACACCAGUGGCGAAGGCGGCGACCUGGGCCAAUAUUGACGCUGAGGUGCGAAAGCGUGGGGAGCAAACAGG
RNAcentral lists this ribosomal RNA (253 nucleotides) under uncultured prokaryote. Its description in RNAcentral is "partial 16S ribosomal RNA". It matches the Rfam family "Bacterial small subunit ribosomal RNA", at positions 524 to 776 of the family's 1533-position model. The record is from RNAcentral.